GUCUCUGGGUGUCGGGAACACCUAAGAGAAGUCAGCCGAGGUCGUAGUAGUUGCCGGUAACGAGCUGUAAGAGCUACAGAGGUCUCACUGGGCAGCGAAGGAC
Belliella baltica DSM 15883 is the source of this 103-nucleotide non-coding RNA. The record is from Rfam. Lineage: Bacteria; Pseudomonadati; Bacteroidota; Cytophagia; Cytophagales; Cyclobacteriaceae.